This 507-nucleotide unclassified non-coding RNA is filed under the name Mycobacterium sp. V(2010). RNAcentral's name for it is "partial contains 16S ribosomal RNA and 16S-23S ribosomal RNA intergenic spacer". The stretch from base 375 to 507 matches the Rfam family "Bacterial large subunit ribosomal RNA", at positions 1 to 132 of the family's 2925-position model. The record is from RNAcentral. Lineage: Bacteria; Bacillati; Actinomycetota; Actinomycetes; Mycobacteriales; Mycobacteriaceae.
UGCGGCUGGAUCCCCUCCUUUCUAAGGAGCACCGUUGUUUUCCCCCACCCCCACCCCUGUGUGGGAUCGAGUGUGGUUGGGAUAUCAGUGCCGGCGCCUGUAGUGGGUUGUCGGUGGGUGCGUACGUGACAGCAAAGCGUUGGUCGUGUGGGGAAAGCCGCGGCCGGCAGGCGGAAUCAUCAAGCACACUGUUGGGUCCUGAGGCAACACCUGCUGUUGUCCCGUGGUCGUUAGCGAUCGGCGGGGUGGGGUUGUCGCUCCAUCUUGGUGGUGGGGUGUGGUGUUUGAUUUGUGGAUAGUGGUUGCGAGCAUCUAACAGUAAUUGUUGUGCUGCUUUGUCAGUGCGACGAAUUUUGUUGAGUGUUUUCUUGUGUUUGUAAGUGUUUAAGGGCACAUGGUGGAUGCCUUGGCAUCAGGAGCCGAUGAAGGACGUGGGAGGCUGCGAUAUGCCUCGGGGAGCUGUCAACCGAGCGUGGAUCCGAGGAUGUCCGAAUGGGGAAACCCGGA